AAUGAACGCUGGCGGCGUGCAUAACACAUGCAAGUCGAACGAGAAACUCCGGGCUUGCUCGGAGGAGUAAAGUGGCGCACGGGUGAGUAACGCGUGGGUAACCUACCCUUGAAUCUGGAAUAACUCGCCGAAAGGCGGACUAAUACCGGAUAUCGUUCCGGAGACGCAUGUUUUUGGAAUGAAAGGUGACCUCUUCAUGAAAGUUGCCGUUCAGGGACGGGCUCGCGUACCAUUAGCUAGUUGGCAGGGUAAUGGCCUACCAAGGCGAUGAUGGUUAGCUGGUCUGAGAGGAUGAUCAGCCACACUGGAACUGGAACACGGUCCAGACUCCUACGGGUGGCUG
Molecule: ribosomal RNA, 343 nt
Filed under: uncultured Pseudomonadota bacterium
Lineage: Bacteria; Pseudomonadati; Pseudomonadota
Description: bacterial SSU rRNA
Rfam family: Bacterial small subunit ribosomal RNA
Source: RNAcentral